GAGAAUUAACUAACUAUCCCGGAUAACCUUUAAAUUGCAAGGAGUCUUCUUAGCGGCCUUGAAGGAGUGAAAGAGAGAAGAAAGAGUAGCUGUUGUUGGUGUAAGCCUAUCAGCUAUCGAAUAAGCAGUGUUAGCACCAAAGAAGGAUGGAUGGGAGCUGCUGCUAUAAUAUAAGAGUAGAGCGUUGAACUUUAUUGAUUUUACCCGAUGCUCAAGUUCU
This 220-nucleotide long non-coding RNA is filed under the name Gossypium barbadense (sea-island cotton). RNAcentral's name for it is "long non-coding RNA (GBAR_LNC012621)". Lineage: Eukaryota; Viridiplantae; Streptophyta; Magnoliopsida; Malvales; Malvaceae. The record is from RNAcentral.